RNAcentral lists this long non-coding RNA (2675 nucleotides) under Struthio camelus australis. RNAcentral describes it as "lncRNA (ENSSCUG00000017508.1)". Lineage: Eukaryota; Metazoa; Chordata; Aves; Struthioniformes; Struthionidae. The record is from RNAcentral.
UUUUUUUAGGGAGAAACCAGGCUGAUUUGGUUAAGGGGGGGGCCACAAUAAUUUAGUGGUGGGGUCCAUCGCCAUGGUGGGGACAGGGGAUCCCCGGUGACACCGGAGGGGGUGGCAGUGGCUCUGCAGGGACAGGGACGAGGGCGCUGCGGUGUCGAGGACGAAGGAUCUCUGGUGACGCCGACGAAGGAGCUGCGGUGACGAAGAUGAUGGAGGACGAAGGAGCCGUGGUGACAAUGGUUCUCCGGUGACCGCAAUGGUGAAGGACGAGGAGUCUCCGGUGACAGUGACAACUGAGGAGCUACGAUGCUUCUUGGGUGACGAGGGUGCGCCGGUGACGAGGACGAAGGCUCUCCGAGGACGAUGAUGAUGGAGGACGACGAAGGAGCUGCGGUGAUGAUGAUGAGGGAAGAGACGAGGGCUCUCCAGUGACCAUGAUGGUGGAGAAGGACAAGGGCUCUCUGGUGACUAUGAUGGCAGAGAAGGGACAAGGGCUCACCGAGGAUGAUGAAGACCAAGGAUGAGGGUUCUCCACUGAUGAUGACGAGAGGAUGAAGGACGAGGGUUUUUCCGGUGACGAGGACAAUUGCUUUCUGGUGACGACGAUGACGAUGGCCAAGGAUGAGGGCUUUCCAGUGACGAUGAUGAAGACAAAGGAUGAGAGCUUUCCGGUGCUGCUGGACAAGGACGAGGUCUCUCUGGUGAUGAUAGCGAUGGGAGGACGAAGGCUCUCCAUGAUGAGGGACAAGGGCUCUCUGGUGACAUUGGAGGAGGACGCGGCGCUCCAGUGACAACGAUGACGGACAAGGACGAGGGCUCUCCGGUGACACUGGAAAAGGACGAAGAAGAGGGUUCUCCGGUGAUGAUGACGACGGACGACGGCUCUCCGGUGACGCUAGAGAAGGACAAGGAAGAGGGUUCUCCGGUGAUGAUGAUGAUGGACGACGGCUCUCCGGUGACGCUAGAGAAGAACAAGGAAGAGGGUUCUCCGGUGAUGCUAGAGAAGGACGAGGGCUCUCCGGUGACGAAGACAACGGAAGGACGAGGGCUCUCCGGUGACGAAGACAACGGAAGGACGAGGGCUCUCCGGCGACGAAGACAACGGAAGGACGAGGGCUCUCCGGCGACGCCGGACAGGAAAGGGAGGGCUCUGCGGCGGCUUUCAAGCCUCCUCUUCGGCCUCUUCACCGAAGUCCUCCUCUUCCUCGGCCGUGGCGUCCUGGUACUGCUGGUACUCGGAGACCAGGUCGUUCAUGUUGCUCUCGGCCUCGGUGAACUCCAUCUCGUCCAUGCCCUCGCCCGUGUACCAGUGAAGGAAGGCCUUGCGGCGAAACAUGGCUGUGAACUGCUCCGAGAUGCGCUUGAAGAGCUCCUGGAUGGCCGUGCUGUUGCCGAUGAAGGUGACGGCCAUCUUCAAGCCCCGGGGCGGGAUGUCGCACACAGCCGUCUUCACGUUGUUGGGGAUCCACUCGACGAAGUAGGAGCUGUUCUUGUUCUGCACGUUGAGCAUCUGUUCGUCCACCUCCUUCAUGGACAUGCGGCCCCGGAAGACGGCGGCCACCGUGAGGUAGCGCCCGUGUCGAGGGUCGCAGGCGGCCAUCAUGUUCUUGGCGUCGAAGACCUGCUGGGUGAGCUCGGGGACGGUGAGGGCCCGGUACUGCUGGCUGCCGCGUGACGUCAAGGGGGCGAAGCCGGGCAUGAAGAAGUGGAGACGAGGGAAGGGCACCAUGUUGACCGCCAGCUUGCGCAGGUCGGCGUUGAGCUGCCCGGGGAAGCGGAGGCAGGUGGUGACGCCGCUCAUGGUGGCCGACACCAGGUGGUUGAGGUCUCCGUAGGUGGGAGUGGUCAGCUUGAGGGUACGGAAGCAGAUGUCAUAGAGGGCUUCGUUGUCGAUGCAGUAGGUCUCGUCCGUGUUCUCCACCAGCUGGUGCACCGACAGCGUGGCGUUGUAGGGUUCCACCACCGUGUCCGAGACCUUGGGUGAAGGCACCACGCUGAAGGUGUUCAUGAUGCGGUCGGGAUACUCCUCGCGGAUCUUGGAGAUGAGCAGGGUGCCCAUGCCCGAGCCGGUGCCACCACCCAGCGAGUGGGUCAGCUGGAAGCCCUGCAGGCAGUCGCAGCUCUCCGCCUCUUUGCGCACCACGUCCAGCACCGAGUCCACCAGCUCCGCCCCCUCCGUGUAGUGGCCCUUGGCCCAGUUGUUGCCGGCGCCGCUCUGGCCUGGUGGUGGGUUGGGGACACGGGUUAGGACCGGGCCGUGGGGACGCCCGGGGAGGGUUGUUGGGUCUCCUCUGGGGUUGUCAGCUCUCUCUUGGAGAGCUCCAGCUCCUUUGGGAGCUCCAUCCCACCCUUGGGGACCUCCAUCACCCUCCUUGAGGGACCCUGAGCUCCAUGGGGACCUCCAUCCCACCCUUGGGGACUUUGAGGUCCUUGGGGACCUUCAGCUUCUCCUUGGGCAUCUUAAAUCUUCCCCAUGAGGACCUCAAACUUCUCCUCAGGGACCUCCGUCACCCUCCUUGGGGACUCAGAGCUCCUUAGGGACCUCCGUCCCACCCUUGCGGACCGCCAUCUUCUCCUUAGGCAUCUCUAUCUCCCCAUUGGGGACCUUCAUCGUCCUCCCCAGGUACCCCCAGUGCACCUUGGGGACCUCCAGCUCCUUUGGAGACCUUGAUCCU